GUAGGUGAACCUGCGGAAGGAUCAUUAUCACGUAUCCAAACGUAUAAACCAAUGAGCACCUCCUUUUCUCCUCCUGAUGGGCUUUCAUGAAGUUGGCGAGAGAAGUUGAUAUUCCUUUCAUGGUCUUUAGGAAUUCUCUCGUCGUGUGAUCUGAUCAGUAAAAUGGUCUCUUCACAGCCUUCUAAGUCCUGGAGUGUACUAAACCAUGCAACCCUGUUUAACCUUAUUAACUACUUGUACCUUUAUGAACUGACUUAGGCUUCAUAAGUGGAGGCUGAUAUGAUGGACUUCGGUCUAUCAUGUUGGCCAACUCUUUGAACCUUUAUUUAUAUAAACUCUGAACUACUCUUAACAACGGAUAUCUUGGUUCUC
Molecule: unclassified non-coding RNA, 372 nt
Filed under: rhizosphere metagenome
Description: partial ribosomal RNA internal transcribed spacer region
Source: RNAcentral